AGGCUAAGUCCGUGUGCUAUAGGU
RNAcentral lists this non-coding RNA (24 nucleotides) under Arabidopsis thaliana (thale cress). Lineage: Eukaryota; Viridiplantae; Streptophyta; Magnoliopsida; Brassicales; Brassicaceae. The record is from RNAcentral.